This 324-nucleotide ribosomal RNA is filed under the name uncultured eukaryote. Its description in RNAcentral is "partial 18S ribosomal RNA". It matches the Rfam family "Eukaryotic small subunit ribosomal RNA", at positions 1470 to 1796 of the family's 1831-position model. The record is from RNAcentral.
CCCUUAGAUGUCCUGGGCCGCACGCGCGUUACACUGAUGCAUUCAACGAGCUUAUAACCUUGGCCGAGAGGCCUGGGCAAUCUUGUUAACGUGCAUCGUGAUAGGGAUAGAUUAUUGCAAUUAUUAGUCUUGAACGAGGAAUUCCUAGUAAGCACAAGUCAUCAGCUUGUGUUGAUUACGUCCCUGCCCUUUGUACACACCGCCCGUCGCUCCUACCGAUUGAAUGUUCCGGUGAGCUCUUCGGACUGCGCGGUCUGCAGUUUCUGCGUUCCGUGCGGAAAGUUGCGCAAACCUUAACAUUUAGAGGAAGGAGAAGUCGUAACA